CUACGGAGGAUCCGAGCGUUAUCCGGAUUUAUUGGGUUUAAAGGGUGCGCUGGCGGCCAUUUAAGUCAGCGGUUAAAUCGUGGGGCUCAACCCCAUUCUGCCGUUGAUACUGGGUGGCUUGAUUGCGGUCGAGGUUGGCGGAAUUCGUUGUGUAGCGGUGAAAUGCAUAGAGAUGACGAAGAUCACCGGUUGCGUGGACAGCUGACCUGCCCACAGAUGACGCCCAUGCACGAAAGUACGGAGAUCGAACAGUAUUAGAUGCCCUGCUAGGGCUCAGACUAAGCGAUUAACACCUGUCUUAGGCGAUAUAAUGCCGGAGCCAUAGAGAAAGUGAUAAGUAUUCCCCCUGGCGACUUCGCCGGCACCGGGGAAACUGACAUGACUUGGAGUUG
This 392-nucleotide ribosomal RNA is filed under the name uncultured bacterium. RNAcentral describes it as "partial 16S ribosomal RNA". It matches the Rfam family "Bacterial small subunit ribosomal RNA", at positions 523 to 918 of the family's 1533-position model. The record is from RNAcentral.